This is a long non-coding RNA of Bicyclus anynana (squinting bush brown), 837 nucleotides long. RefSeq lists it as uncharacterized. The transcript has 3 exons. Lineage: Eukaryota; Metazoa; Arthropoda; Insecta; Lepidoptera; Nymphalidae. The record is from RefSeq and is a predicted model, not a curated record.
AUUUUACGGCCUUGAAUACAAGUUCUUAUAGGCCCUGCCUUAAAUGCAAAUAUUACAAUUUUUCUUAAAAAUAAUACUAAGCACUUAAAAUUAUCGUCGUCGACGUCUAAAUAUAAAUUUACUACUGUAUUUUACAAUUUUUCUAUUGUGUUAGUAAUGAAAUCUAAAACAGGCUUGUAAAAUAAAUGGUUCCUCAACAAUUCCUUAAUGUGGCGGGAACUAUGACACCUAUAUAUAUGGACCUGUGGCAUUUUACGUCAAAUUUGGUCAAUGACCAAAAAUGGCUAUUGUUGUGGUUCCGGUGUAACGGUUUUCGAAAUAUUACGGAAAUAAUAACCAGUAAGCUUGUGAAUCGCAAAAUAAAUUAAAUAUUGUACAAUGGUGAAGUGCGCAGUUGUUGCCUGCACCAACAAAACCCAAACAAAACUAGCGGGAAAUUCAUUUCACAAAUUUCCAAAAAAUCAUGAUUUAAGACAAAAAUGGCUAAACAGCAUUAACAGGCCUAAUUUCAUGACCAUGUGACCAUGACAAAACAGGACACAGUACAAAUUGCUUGUAAAACUAUUGUAUAAGUAUACUAAUAAAUAUUGAUGCUACAUAACUAUGCUACCUAAUUUAUUGUGAGUAAAAAUACAUUAUUUUAGAAUGUGCUCACUUACACUUGGAUUAAAAGAAAGACUUAAAUUGGAAUAUUUUUUUUCAUUUCUCAUACUCGGAAAGUAGUGUUGUUUUGAUCUGAGUAUUGGGUGGAAAAUGCUGCUUCCCACCAUAGGGAGGGAAUAACUCAUACAAAUUACUUCCCACCGGAAUUAAGGCAAUUAAGGGCCGGAAUGAACU